This 292-nucleotide ribosomal RNA is filed under the name uncultured bacterium. RNAcentral describes it as "partial 16S ribosomal RNA". It matches the Rfam family "Bacterial small subunit ribosomal RNA", at positions 505 to 796 of the family's 1533-position model. The record is from RNAcentral.
GUGUCAGCAGCCGCGGUAAUACGGAGGGUGCAAGCGUUGUCCGGAUUUAUUGGGUUUAAAGGGUGCGUAGGCGGCUCAUUAAGUCUGGGGUGAAAGCCCGUUGCUCAACAACGGAACUGCCCUGGAAACUGGUGAGCUUGAGUACAGACGAGGGUGGCGGAAUGGAUGCUGUAGCGGUGAAAUGCAUAGAUAGCAUCCAGAACCCCGAUUGCGAAGGCAGCUGCCUAGACUGUAACUGACGCUGAGGCACGAAAGCGUGGGGAGCGAACAGGAUUAGAAACCCUUGUAGUCC